This 560-nucleotide ribosomal RNA is filed under the name Aureobasidium pullulans. RNAcentral's name for it is "eukaryotic LSU rRNA". The stretch from base 201 to 354 matches the Rfam family "5.8S ribosomal RNA". The record is from RNAcentral. Lineage: Eukaryota; Fungi; Ascomycota; Dothideomycetes; Dothideales; Saccotheciaceae.
GACCUGCGGAAGGAUCAUUAAAGAGUAAGGGUGCUCAGCGCCCGACCUCCAACCCUUUGUUGUUAAAACUACCUUGUUGCUUUGGCGGGACCGCUCGGUUCCGAGCCGCUGGGGAUUCGUCCCAGGCGAGUGCCCGCCAGAGUUAAACCAAACUCUUGUUAUUAAACCGGUCGUCUGAGUUAAAAUUUUGAAUAAAUCAAAACUUUCAACAACGGAUCUCUUGGUUCUCGCAUCGAUGAAGAACGCAGCGAAAUGCGAUAAGUAAUGUGAAUUGCAGAAUUCAGUGAAUCAUCGAAUCUUUGAACGCACAUUGCGCCCCUUGGUAUUCCGAGGGGCAUGCCUGUUCGAGCGUCAUUACACCACUCAAGCUAUGCUUGGUAUUGGGUGCCGUCCUUAGUUGGGCGCGCCUUAAAGACCUCGGCGAGGCCACUCCGGCUUUAGGCGUAGUAGAAUUUAUUCGAACGUCUGUCAAAGGAGAGGAACUCUGCCGAUUGAAACCUUUAUUUUUCUAGGUUGACCUCGGAUCAGGUAGGGAUACCCGCUGAACUUAAGCAUAUCAA